Molecule: ribosomal RNA, 253 nt
Filed under: uncultured bacterium
Lineage: Bacteria
Description: partial 16S ribosomal RNA
Rfam family: Bacterial small subunit ribosomal RNA
Source: RNAcentral
UACGUAGGGGGCAAGCGUUAUCCGGAUUUACUGGGUGUAAAGGGGGCGCAGACGGCGAUGCAAGCCAGGAGUGAAAGCCCGGGGCCCAACCCCGGGACUGCUCUUGGAACUGCGUGGCUGGAGUGCAGGAGGGGCAGGCGGAAUUCCUGGUGUAGCGGUGAAAUGCGUAGAUAUCAGGAGGAACACCGGUGGCGAAGGCGGCCAACUGGGCUUUAACUGACGCUGAGGCUCGAAAGUGUGGGGAGCAAACAGG